Long non-coding RNA from Trachemys scripta elegans, 2503 nucleotides. RefSeq lists it as uncharacterized. The transcript has 3 exons. Lineage: Eukaryota; Metazoa; Chordata; Testudines; Emydidae. The record is from RefSeq and is a predicted model, not a curated record.
CUGCAAGGGGUCCCGCGAGAGCGAGGUGUCGAUGAUCCGCCCAUCCUCCAAGCUGCCCUGUGGGGAGACAUUGGACACACGCGGGCUCCCGGCAGGUGACGUUUCUCUGAAAGCCCCAGUUCCCGGCACCUGCCACCUUUGGUUUUGUGAAAGUGGAUGUUCAGCUGAACAGAGCUUGGCUGCGUGAGCCCUGCGGGCCCAGCGAGCGGGCCGUGAGGCGAGACCCUGCGUUGAUUGUGCGUUACAUCUCCCGAGUGCUUUGGGGUACAGUGUAUGGCAGUGGCCGGGGUGGGCUGCAACAGGGGUCUGGCAGUGCCGGCUGUCCCAGAUCACCCCCUUGCGGCCAGGCAGGGCACCAUCGAAGCCCUACCUUGGCUUCCCUCCACCCAGGGAAGGAACAAGUCCAAGCAGGUUUUCAGGAACAGCUUUCAGAUGAUUAGAACUGGGGGUUACAUGCUGACUCUCCCCCCACCCCCAAGCACCUUCCAGCCUUGGCGGGCAGACGUGAGGUGGAGCAGAGCAUCUGGGGCAUGCUGAGCUUUAAGGCACCAAGCUCCCAGCACCAGAAGGUGGCAGCAAAUCAUCAACAAUUCCUCCCUUUCCACCUAAUGGCAUGUUUAAGGCCCCUGACCCUAACCGUGUUUCGGGCAUCCGAAGCAGCCGCAGAUGGGGAGGGACGAUCUAGUGCUUGGGGCCCAGGACACCGGGGUAAGUCCUCGGCCAUGCUGCUGCCCUGUGGGUGAUGUUAGGCAAACGAGCUCAUCGCCCUGGGCCUCAGCUCCUCCGUGCCGGGGCUAACGCUCCUUCCUGGCUGGAGGCAGGGACCGCAUCUCACUCCGUGUCUGGGCAACUCACGGCGCGAUGGGGCCCCUGAGCUCAGCGGGGCCCCCCAGACGCUACGGGAAGACAAAUAAUCAUUUACACAGCGGUGGCAGUACCUAAGGCCACAGCCAGAUUGGGCCCUGCCGGGCUGGGUGCUGCCCAGGGCCCUGCUCCAAAGAGCUCGGAGUCUGACAGGAGAAAUUCCCCACCAGAAAGAAAGGUCCGGUGCUGGUGUGGCCAUGCUGGGACCCCAUGGCAGGGUCGGAGCCAGGACGCAGAACUUGGCAGGCCAUUUCCACCACACGCACAGCCCCAGCUGGCAAGAGGCGGGUCCCUGGGGAGGAGGUUUGGGCGGAUGCCUGUGAAUGGGGCUGGGGCGUAACCUCCGUCCAUGGCUCCUGAGCGCAUCGCAGCACCUGCCGGGCCAGGGCCGAGGUGGGCUCCUCUGCUCUGGGGCGUGCAGAACAGGCCCGUGAGAUGAUGCAGCGUGUGCUGUCUGGCCCAGCAGGGCCACGCCCGGGUCCAGCCCCACCAUAGUGCACAUCCGCCCAGUUCGUGACUGACCGGUGCCCUUGAGAACUGGGGCCUCGCCGAGCCGUGGCCUGGCUUGAAGAACACUGGACUAGCUAAAGGGGGCCAGGCUGCCCGCAUGCAUGUGAAUGCAGCUCGGCCACUCCCGCUGGCCGCUUCUGUCCGGGGAAGGCCCCUCUGCCCCACUUGGACUGUGGCCACACAAGGGUGGGGAUGGGCUCGCACGCUCGGUAACAGUCCCCCCCAGGCACCAUGGCUGUAAAGCACCGACCCUGGUGCAGAGCUGCCGGGUCUGAGGGACCCUGGUGUGGCCAGCGCGUGUGCUCUGAUGGGGCCAUGCAGGCUGCGUUCGUUCUGUGCAGGGGCAGCGCCGGGGGCCCUGCUCAGGAGGGUGCUAGGAGCUGUACAAGCGUUUCCAGCUGCUCCUCUCACCAGGGACAGCCCUAGCGAGCUGCACCCCCCAGUCGUCCCGCUCAGCAGUGCCAGCUCUAGGGCUGGGCGGAGAAGCCAGCUCCGGUUGGGCUCAGCUGAAGGCUCGUGCUCCGGCCUGUGGGCACCAGCUUUGCCAGGCCAAGCAGCGUCCAGCUGGGAGCCUGCCCGUCUCCCUGCAGCAUGGGGGCGUGGGGCCACCCAGCACCACAAGACGCCGCGGGGGGCCAGAGCGUGGGCUGGGCUGUGGGGCUGGCUCCCAGGGCGACGGGAUCGGCAUGCCAGCUAUUCCUCCGCCGGGACGCUGCUCCCAUUGUCUGGGCCACGCCUGUCAUUCCCCGGCUGCGGCCCCGCCACCUGCACCCACAUACCAGCCCCCGUUGCCGUGAUGUGGCGAAGACGGGCUGGCGGCUCGGGCCGUGAGGCUGUAAUGGGAUUACGGGAGCUGGGGCGGCUCGGGGCUGCGCCCCCUCCCCUGCCCAGAGACAAUGUGAGAUGGAUGGGCUGGUGGGAAACCGGCCCCAGCCUCCAGAGCGGGGGGGGGGGGGGGGGGGCGCUCCGGCAGUGGGGUCCCAGCAGACCCCUGAGCAAAGGCUGCUGCCAGGAAGGGACACAGGAUCGGGCCCUGUCACCUCACAGCCGCUGCAGCCAUGGCUUAUAACAAAGUGCCAGAAUCAAAGCAGGAGUCCUGGCCCCCUACAACACCUCCCCCUCCCCGAGC